GGCGUUAAGUUGCAGGGUAUAGACCCGAAACCCGGUGAUCUAGCCAUGGGCAGGUUGAAGGUUGGGUAACACUAACUGGAGGACCGAACCGACUAAUGUUGAAAAAUUAGCGGAUGACCUGUGGCUGGGGGUGAAAGGCCAAUCAAACCGGGAGAUAGCUGGUUCUCCCCGAAAGCUAUUUAGGUAGCGCCUCGUGAAUUCAUCUCCGGGGGUAGAGCACUGUUUCGGCUAGGGGGCCAUCCCGGCUUACCAACCCGAUGCAAACUGCGAAUACCGGAGAAUGUUAUCACGGGAGACACACGGCGGGUGCUAACGUCCGUCGUGAAGAGGGAAACAACCCAGACCGCCAGCUAAGGUCCCAAAGUCAUGGUUAAGUGGGAAACGAUGUGGGAAGGCCCAGACAGCCAGGAUGUUGGCUUAGAAGCAGCCAUCAUUUAAAGAAAGCGUAAUAGCUCACUGGUCGAGUCGGCCUGCGCGGAAGAUGUAACGGGGCUAAACCAUGCACCGAAGCUGCGGCAGCGACGCUGAUGCGUUGUUGGGUAGGGGAGCGUUCUGUAAGCCUGCGAAGGUGGCCUGUGAGGGUUGCUGGAGGUAUCAGAAGUGCGAAUGCUGACAUAAGUAACGAUAAAGCGGGUGAAAAGCCCGCUCGCCGGAAGACCAAGGGUUCCUGUCCAACGUUAAUCGGGGCAGGGUGAGUCGACCCCUAAGGCGAGGCCGAAAGGCGUAGUCGAUGGGAAACGGGUUAAUAUUCCCGUACUUGGUGUUACUGCGAAGGGGGGACGGAGAAGGCUAUGUUGGCCGGGCGACGGUUGUCCCGGUUUAAGCGUGUAGGUGUGUGUUCCAGGUAAAUCCGGUUCACUUUAACACUGAGGCGUGACGACGAGGCACUACGGUGCUGAAGCAACAAAUGCCCUGCUUCCAGGAAAAGCCUCUAAGCAUCAGGUAACAUCAAAUCGUACCCCAAACCGACACAGGUGGUCAGGUAGAGAAUACCAAGGCGCUUGAGAGAACUCGGGUGAAGGAACUAGGCAAAAUGGUGCCGUAACUUCGGGAGAAGGCACGCUGACACGUAGGUGAAGUGAUUUACUCAUGGAGCUGAAGUCAGUCGAAGAUACCAGCUGGCUGCAACUGUUUAUUAAAAACACAGCACUGUGCAAACACGAAAGUGGACGUAUACGGUGUGACGCCUGCCCGGUGCCGGAAGGUUAAUUGAUGGGGUCAGCGCAAGCGAAGCUCCUGAUCGAAGCCCCGGUAAACGGCGGCCGUAACUAUAACGGUCCUAAGGUAGCGAAAUUCCUUGUCGGGUAAGUUCCGACCUGCACGAAUGGCGUAAUGAUGGCCAGGCUGUCUCCACCCGAGACUCAGUGAAAUUGAACUCGCUGUGAAGAUGCAGUGUACCCGCGGCAAGACGGAAAGACCCCGUGAACCUUUACUAUAGCUUGACACUGAACAUUGAGCCUUGAUGUGUAG
RNAcentral lists this ribosomal RNA (1470 nucleotides) under Salmonella enterica. Its description in RNAcentral is "partial 23S ribosomal RNA". It matches the Rfam family "Bacterial large subunit ribosomal RNA", at positions 691 to 2141 of the family's 2925-position model. The record is from RNAcentral. RNAcentral also lists the same sequence under 1 other name. Lineage: Bacteria; Pseudomonadati; Pseudomonadota; Gammaproteobacteria; Enterobacterales; Enterobacteriaceae.